GUCCACGCCGUAAACGAUGAAUACUAGGUGUCGGGGCCCAUAAGGGCUUCGGUGCCGCAGCAAACGCAAUAAGUAUUCCACCUGGGGAGUACGUUCGCAAGAAUGAAACUCAAAAGGAAUUGACGGGGGACCCGCACAAGCGGUGGAGCAUGUGGUUUUAAUUCGAAGCAACGCGAAGAACCUUACCAAGUCUUGACAUCCCACUGACCGGACAGUAAUGUGUCCUUCCUUCGGGACAGUGGUGACAGGUGGUGCAUGGUUGUCGU
Molecule: ribosomal RNA, 266 nt
Filed under: uncultured bacterium
Lineage: Bacteria
Description: partial 16S ribosomal RNA
Rfam family: Bacterial small subunit ribosomal RNA
Source: RNAcentral